AUGGUGUCGGACGCCAGCAAGAAGAAGGCGGCGCAGAAGAAGGCCGCCGCAGCCGCAAAGAGGGGCGCCAAGGUGCCCACCUCCUCCGCAUCAUCUUCCGCCUCUAACAACAAGACGACGGAUAAGGGGGCCCUCGCCGCCGUUCAGCUGUCCGACCGCACCUGCACCGCCGUCCUCACCUCCCACCCGCUCUCACGCGACAUACACAUAGAGUCUCUCACUUUAACAUUCCACGGCCACGAUCUACUUGUAGACACUGAGCUGGAGCUCAACUACGGCAGGCGCUAUGGUUUGCUUGGUCUGAAUGGCUGCGGCAAGUCCUGCCUUCUCAAAGCAAUAGGGUGCAGGGAGCUUCCUAUCCCUGACCACAUGGAUAUAUACCACCUCAGCCAUGAGAUCGAGGCUUCAGACAUGUCUGCGCUUGGAGCCGUCAUUAGCUGUGAUGAAGAAAGGGUCAAGCUGGAAAAGGAAGCUGAAGUUUUGGCUGCUCAAGAUGAUGGCGGUGGUGCAGCUUUGGAGCGCGUAUAUGAGCGGUUAGAAGCAAUUGAUGCAUCCACCGCUGAAAAGCGUGCUGCUGAGAUUUUGUUUGGCUUAGGCUUUAACAAGCAGAUGCAGGCCAAGAAAACCAGGGACUUCUCUGGCGGUUGGCGCAUGAGAAUUGCUUUGGCAAGAGCUCUCUUCAUGAAUCCAACCAUCCUUUUGCUCGAUGAGCCUACCAAUCAUCUUGAUCUUGAGGCAUGCGUGUGGCUGGAAGAAACACUGAAGAAGUUUGACCGUAUACUUGUUGUGAUAUCACACUCCCAAGACUUCCUGAAUGGAGUAUGUACCAACAUCAUCCACAUGCAGAACAGGAAGCUGAAGCUGUACACUGGGAAUUUCGACCAGUAUGUCCAGACCCGAUCUGAGCUGGAGGAGAACCAGAUGAAGCAGUACAGGUGGGAGCAGGACCAGAUUGCGUCGAUGAAGGAGUACAUCGCGCGCUUUGGGCACGGGUCCGCCAAGCUGGCACGGCAGGCCCAGAGCAAGGAGAAGACGCUGGCCAAGAUGGAGCGCGGCGGGCUGACGGAGAAGGUGGCGAGGGACAGGAUCCUGACGUUCCGGUUUGCCAAUGUGGGCAAGCUCCCGCCGCCGGUGCUGCAGUUUGUGGAGGUGACGUUCGGGUACACGCCGGACAACCUGAUCUACAAGAAGCUGGACUUUGGGGUGGACCUUGACUCGCGGGUGGCGCUGGUGGGUCCCAACGGGGCGGGGAAGAGCACGCUGCUGAAGCUGAUGACGGGGGAGCUGGUGCCGCUGGACGGGCUGGUGCGGCGGCACAACCACCUGCGGAUCGCGCAGUUCCACCAGUACCUGGCGGAGAAGCUGGACCUGGACCUGUCUGCGCUGCAGUACAUGCUGAAGGAGUACCCGGGCAACGAGGAGGAGCGGAUGCGGGCGGCCAUCGGCAGGUUCGGGCUGUCGGGGAAGGUGCAGGUGAUGCCGAUGCGGAACCUGUCGGACGGGCAGCGGAGCCGGGUGAUCUUCGCGUGGCUGGCGUGGCGUGAGCAGCAGAUGCUGCUGCUGGAUGAGCCGACCAACCACCUGGACAUCGAGACGAUCGACUCGCUGGCGGAAGCGCUGAAUGAGUGGGACGGCGGGCUGGUGCUGGUGAGCCAUGACUUCAGGCUGAUCAACCAGGUGGCGCAGGAGAUCUGGGUGUGCGAGAAGCAGGCGGUGACGAGGUGGGAGGGCGACAUCAUGGAGUUCAAGGAGCACCUCAAGAGCAAGUCGGGCGGCAUGUCGGACGACUGA
Molecule: ribosomal RNA, 1791 nt
Filed under: Triticum aestivum (bread wheat)
Lineage: Eukaryota; Viridiplantae; Streptophyta; Magnoliopsida; Poales; Poaceae
Description: partial small subunit ribosomal RNA
Source: RNAcentral